Molecule: ribosomal RNA, 433 nt
Filed under: uncultured bacterium
Lineage: Bacteria
Description: partial 16S ribosomal RNA
Rfam family: Bacterial small subunit ribosomal RNA
Source: RNAcentral
AACGAACGCUGGCGGCAUGCCUAACACAUGCAAGUCGAACGAGACCUUCGGGUCUAGUGGCGCACGGGUGCGUAACGCGUGGGAACCUGCCCUUAGGUUCGGAAUAACUCCCCGAAAGGGGUGCUAAUACCGGAUAAUGUCUUCGGACCAAAGAUUUUUCGCCUUUGGAUGGGCCCGCGUUGGAUUAGCUAGUUGGUAGGGUAAAAGCCUACCAAGGCGACGAUCCAUAGCUGGUCUGAGAGGAUGAUCAGCCACACUGGGACUGAGACACGGCCCAGACUCCUACGGGAUGCAGCAGUGGGGAAUAUUGGACAGUGGGCGAAAGCCUGAUCCAGCAAUGCCGCGUGAGUGAUGAAGGCCUUAGGGUUGUAAAGCUCUUUUACCCGGGAUGAUAAUGACAGUACCGGGAGAAUAAGCUCCGGCUAACUCCGUG